UCCCUUUCCCUGCAGGUCUGUGCCAGGAGUAAAUAACCCUCCUGAUUUAGGAGACUGGACACCAUCUUCUAGAAAGAAGCUCACAAGACCAGGGCGGGUGUGACUCAGCCAUGGUGUUCUUGACACCCAGAGAUCCGAGCACACGACUCUGAGUCAUCCAGCUGCGCUGAGUCACGGCCACCCCUCCGGAAGCAGUUCUCAGGAUAGCAUGUCCGGCAGAGAGAAAACCUGUCCACGUCGUCAGUAAAGGCGACAGAGGCGAGAGUAAGGCUCCACUCUCGAGUGCUGAUGUCUGAUGGAAAGAGGUCGGAUGCCCGAGCUAGUAUUCCUUCUUGUGACCCGCGCUUCUGGCAUAAUGAUGGUGACAGCUGACACUUACUGUCCAGCCCCCAGCUCACCGAAGCCCAGGAGGCAGGCGUUGUCAUCAUGCUCCUUUCCAGUGGCUGCAGAGGCUCUGGGAGCUCAGUUGACAUCAGCGCAGCCUGUUCCGUUCAGCAGCGUGAGAGCUCAGCUUCCGCGGGCCUGACUCACACUAGGUGCUCCUCUCACUCGCCUUCUCUGCUCCCACUCUGCUUGGUACUGUUAGGGCUACUGCUAUGUUUAAGCACACUGUUUCAACAGCAAGGCAGCACCACACGCCUGUUAGGAAGCCCAAGUCCAGAGUCCCGUCGGCAGCACGUUUUGAGAAGGGUGUAAUGCAAUAGGAACUCUCGCAAAUGGUGCAGCCACUUCAGAAGACAGCUGGAUGGUUUCUUACACAGUAAACAUGCUCUUACCACACAGUCCAAUACUCACGUUCCCUGAUACCCAAGGAAAAGAGAUUCUGAGAAGAGAUGUUCACACAAGAACCUGCACGCAGAUGUUUAUUGCGGUUUUAUCCAUAACUUCAGAACUUGGAUGCAACCAAGACGUCCUUCGGAGGGUGAACAGGUAAAAAUAAACUCAUGUGUCCAGACACAAUAAUGGAAUAUUAUUCAAUGCUAAUAAUAAAGAAAUCUGAGCUCCAAAUAACUG
Molecule: long non-coding RNA, 1014 nt
Organism: Capra hircus (goat)
Lineage: Eukaryota; Metazoa; Chordata; Mammalia; Artiodactyla; Bovidae
Exons: 3
Source: RefSeq, a predicted model, not a curated record